AGACGUCUACAUUAGAUACCCGCGUUACGUCCCAGCCCGUAAACGAUGCGCGUUAGGUGUAUCGACGACCACGAGUCGUCGAGGUGCCGAAGGGAAACCGUGAAACGUGCCGCCUGGGAAGUACGGUCGCAAGGCUGAAACUUAAAGGAAUUGGCGGGGAGCACCACAACAGGUGGAGCCUGCGGUUUAAUUGGACUCAACGCCGGGAAGCUCACCGGAUAAGACAGCGGAAUGAUUGCCGAGCUGAAGACUCUGCAUGACUAGCUG
RNAcentral lists this ribosomal RNA (267 nucleotides) under uncultured archaeon. RNAcentral describes it as "partial 16S ribosomal RNA". It matches the Rfam family "Archaeal small subunit ribosomal RNA", at positions 718 to 982 of the family's 1478-position model. The record is from RNAcentral.